CGGCUUUGGGAACAGAUUCAGAUGGUCAGGUGUCAGGGUGGUCUGAGGGAGCCUCCCCCAAAUAAUCCAGUCACUGUGUCCCACUGAAGGAAAAGCACACAAAGGGGGCUCCCGCAUAUCGGGGAAUGCAUCCACAAGGAAUGGGAUGACUGCUUCUUGGACGAAUCCUUUGGAUCUGGAUCAGGGAUCGGUGUCAGAUCUCAGUUGGAGAUCAUUAGCUUCACACCAGAGGCUUCACUGGGAAGGUCUGAGCAGCAUUCCGCUCAGUCCUGCAGCUCCCCGCACACCCCCUCCCCAGACCACGAUGCAGCUUCGGUCUGCUUCCGUGCUUUCCAACAGUCUGCAACCAGUCUUUGGAGCCUGCCAUGACUGUAAACUUUUCCUCUUCGCUCGCUCAGCUGUGUGGGAGGUUUCCUGUGUGGCUUUACUUCCGCCAAAUAGAGGAAGGAUCCCGGAGGCAGUUAAAUAGAGCGGUGAUACUGUCAGUGACAAAAUGGGUUCGUUUUCAUCGGCACAAUUGGACACUGGUGUUUGUAAUUCCUUUUUACUGACACCUUCGCACUAUGUUUAAAGUGACAAAGCGGGAAGAAUGCUACAGUUCAUUUUCCUUUAAAAAAACACCCGAAGUUGAUCUUUUUUGCCAGUGUAAUUUCCAACUCUGACCAGCGUUACAUAACCACGGCUUUUCAUUGGAGCUGCUCCUGCCCUUUUUCACCAUUCGGUUUCACCCAAGUUCUUGCAUUUCGGCGCAACCACGGGAUGAUGAUGAUGGGGGGGGAGGUUGGUGUAGGUAGAAAGUGGUCGAGAUCUUUUUCUGUUUUCCGCCCAGGUUAUAUCUCCUUGGCCCCACCACAAAUUGCUUCUCGUGUCCUCCGCCCAACUUCUGUCUGGAUGUUCCUGUGCUAUUUCUGUCCUUAAUUUCUUUUAUAUUCUGUCUUUUUUUUUGUUCUCAUUUCAGCCUAAUUCUCAUGUGCCUGUGCUUUACCCCGCUGAAAGGAUGAGCUGGAUGUCCGAGCAAUGACACUGAUCUACUGCACACGUGCAGGGGCGAAAUUAUAAAGUGAAACUAUAAAUUGCUCCUUUCCCUGAGGAAGCAUCUGAUCACUGCUGGACCCUUCCGGAACACUUCCAUGUGGGAGCUGACAGACACGUGUUUGUGUUCUAGAUAUUUUGCUAACCAACCUGCUCAGCGAUGACGUGUCCCCAGAUACGGAGCCAGGAUACCCACACCCAAAUCCUUUCAGAUAGUACCUUUCAUUCGUUAGCUACCUUGCCGGUGAUCAGACUGUGUGACUAGAUCUUCAGUCUGAAUGCUGCGUGUAAUGCUGUUUUGAUGUUACCUUGUGGAGUUCUGGGAAAGCAGAGCUGCGCCCUGCAGCAGUAUUGAGACCCACGCCGAUUUUCUUUUCGUGAGUGCUGUAAAAGACGUACAGAAUCCAGUUUCUUUAUCACAUUUAGCCUUGGAAGGAGGACGUGUUUCAACCGGGAAUAAACAGGGGAAGUCCCUCACACAAACCAAUCGACACAUUUUAAUUUCUAAAAUAAAUUGGAGCCACUGCCAAAAAAAGGAAGGACGUCCAUUUACACAGCACCUAUCGUGAAUUCGAGACAUACCUAAGCGUUUUCGUAUAAUGUAGGAAAUUUAUACAAAGCAAGAUCCCACGACCGUCAAUGCACUAAAAAACCAACUAAUCUUUUUAAGUAGCACUGGUUGAAGGAUAAUUGCUAUCAGGUCGGGAGAACGCCGUACUCCUACUCCAAAUAGUACCAUGAAAACAUUUGGAUAAACCUGCAGAUGCUGCUACAUCUGCUGAGUACCUCCAUCAUUUUCUGUUUCUAAUGCCGUUUUUAACAUUUUUUUUAUAACCAUAGGCUAAAAUGCUUUGGUGGGAAGAUUGAAUUAAAUUCACGUCCUGCACAUGUUAUAGUAGUCAUUAUAUUUUACCAUGUUUCCGGCUACAUGCAAUUUUGCAUUCAAAGAUAGAAUCCAGAGGUAUGGUAAGCAAGAAUGAUCUGCAUUUAUUUAGUGCUUAAUCAACAACAACUUGCUUUGAUCUGAAGUCUUCAAUACAAAAAAAAUACGCUGAGUUGCUUUACAGAGGCAAAACUGGACAGGAGGAUAUUGGGUGCAUUUUUAAUUAAAUAUAUAAAUGAACCUAAAACGUUUUUAGAAUGUUUGUUCAGUAUGUUAUAAACUGGCAUGGAAUAUUGUAAGAUGAUCUUUAUAAAUGUAUUAUCUCUCCUGUGUGGGACACAUAUGGUUUCCCCUUGUAUUUCUUCUUAAGAUUUUAAUUCUGGUUGUGAUAGGAUGCCACAGGGAUGUGAAAUCAGGCCACUCACUUAAAACUCUCUGAAGCAUGAUUUGUCAUCCAUCAGUUUGCACAAUGAGUCUCAGCCAGCCAUUUUACAACAGAGACAAUCUGAUUCUGUUCUGAAUUAAUAUCUCACAUGGUACACAAACUUAAAGAUCAGAAGAUCCCUGGCUUGUGCUAAACAAAAAAAGUUGAAAGAACCACAGAUGCUGGGAAUCAUAAACAAAAACAAGAACAGAAAUUGAUGGAAAAUCUCAGCAGAUCUGGCUGCAUCUCUGGAGAGAAAUCAGAGCUAAGGUUUUGGGUCCAGUGACCCUUCUUUAGACCUAUUCUGACUCUGAUUUCUGUCCACAGAUGCUGGCAGAUAUAUUGAGUUUUUCCAGCAAUUUCAGCCCUGGUAUGUCUGUUAGGGUGUAAGGAAUUUGUUCAAGAUUCCCAUUCUAAAUUACUUUCCAGUAACUUCUGAUGAUAAGAAUCUUUAUGGACUUUGGAAAGAACAAAGCUGGCUUUGGAUUUGAUGCCCACAAGAAGAAUAGCCAUUGAGAUGACAGCUGAUAUCCAGUGAACCAUGCUUCAGCAGAAAAGAUUGAUGUGGUCUGCUACAACUUCGAUCUGGUCCAACCCAGCUUCGAGCCACUGGAUGCGGAGUUUUACUUUCCAGUCCUCCAGGUGCUCCUUCCUCACCAAGCACGGCUUUGACUUCAAAAAGAGACUGAUAUCUACAAAUUUCCAGAGAUAAUGGGAACUGCAGAUGCUGGAGAAUCCACGAUAACAAAGUGUGGGGCUGGAUGAACACAGCAGGCCAAGCAGUAUCUC
Stegostoma tigrinum is the source of this 3128-nucleotide long non-coding RNA. RefSeq lists it as uncharacterized. The transcript has 3 exons. The record is from RefSeq and is a predicted model, not a curated record. NCBI's taxonomy places the organism in Eukaryota, Metazoa, Chordata, Chondrichthyes, Orectolobiformes, Stegostomatidae.